UGGGGAAUAUUGGGCAAUGGGCGCAAGCCUGACCCAGCAACGCCGCGUGAGGGAAGAAGGUCUUCGGAUUGUAAACCUCUGUCCUUGGGGACGAAAAAAAUGACGGUACCCAAGGAGGAAGCUCCGGCUAACUACGUGCCAGCAGCCGCGGUAAUACGUAGGGAGCGAGCGUUGUCCGGAAUUACUGGGCGUAAAGGGUGCGUAGGCGGCAUGGCAAGUCAGAUGUGAAGUCCCCGGGCUUAACCCGGGGGGGGCAUUUGAAACUGCUGUGCUUGAGUGCAGGAGAGGAAAGCGGAAUUCCUAGUGUAGCGGUGAAAUGCGUAGAUAUUAGGAGGAACACCAGUGGCGAAGGCGGCUUUCUGGACUGUAACUGACGCUGAGGCACGAAAGCGUGGGGAGCAAACA
Molecule: ribosomal RNA, 405 nt
Filed under: uncultured prokaryote
Description: bacterial SSU rRNA
Rfam family: Bacterial small subunit ribosomal RNA
Source: RNAcentral